UAGUCAGGCGACAGGCCGCAGCACGCCCGCCCCGCCCCGCCCCUCGCAACACGAUCACUCCGCCGUGCGCGCACCAGCACCAGCACCAGCACAGGCCGGGCCCGGGCCGGGAGAAGGGCAGCAAAAUGUAGGUCGCACCUCACCUCGCCUCCCUCCGCGGUCGCAGCGGCGAGCGGGAAGACAGGUGGUCGACCCGAGGCGGCGGCGGCGCUGCUGCUGUUAUUGUUGUUGUCAGUGGGCGUCGAAUAAGUCCAGCGAUGAGAGUUUUUUUUUGCUUAUUUCCAAACACUGCUCGGACCAGGAAGCGGUUACUUUUGGAGAGGGAGUAGAAUAUGACUUCGAAAUAGUCCAUUAAAUGCGAAAACUUAAGCCAUUUCCACCCUGUCCUGCUAAUGAUUUCGAAGAUAAGACAUAAAGUCCUGGAGUAUAAAUUAGCAUCUGCAGUUCCAUGUUUCUACAUUCGGAUUAUAAUUUCGAUUGUACAGCAGAGAUAUUAUGUCAUGGUUACUUAAAAGUGAUCAUAAACGCGCGAUACAGAUGCAGGUCUUUCUGGCGGAUCACACAUAUUUAGAUAGUACAGGGUUUUCUCAAAGUUCACUUUACUUGGAAAUAAACGUUUGACAUCCUCACCGAUUCUUGGGACUUCUUUGCCAUAACUCCGCAAAAUGGAAAAAGGCUAGACAGGCUGCGGAUGUCGGGGGCAAAUAUUGCAAGGAGUUGACAACAUUGCAAAUUGCUACCUCCCCCCCCCCCCCCCCCCCCCCCCCCCCCCAACAAGACCUUUGGAGCUCAGAACCAACGGGACUGGGGAUGCCAGUCUAAAACCAGGCAAUCCAAAACUGUUAAAAAAAAACGAAGAAUUUUAAGAUUAUAUUUAUUCGUUUGCCUAGGACGAUGGGACGGGACAUUUGAUAGUUGUAUGUAUAAAUAUGGCAUGUGUUUUCGCAAUACCAUGACAAUAAAUAUUUUAUAAAGUUGCAUCAGAUCAUAGAUGCAAAACUGCAAAUCCAUGUAAACACAGCAAACAUUUUAUUUACGAAUGGUGUACAUCAAAAUAAGCCAUGGGUGGUAACUUCAAGUUUUCAUAAGUGACACAAGCCUAGCUUACACUAAAGAAGUGGAGACAUAUAAAGAUAGAAUAUUAAAGAAUAAUAAUUUCCUAAUUUUGUAUUUCCAGCUUUUAUGAAUGAAAGUGAUUUUAAGUGUU
Amblyraja radiata (thorny skate) is the source of this 1207-nucleotide long non-coding RNA. RefSeq lists it as uncharacterized. Lineage: Eukaryota; Metazoa; Chordata; Chondrichthyes; Rajiformes; Rajidae. The transcript has 2 exons. The record is from RefSeq and is a predicted model, not a curated record.